RNAcentral lists this ribosomal RNA (301 nucleotides) under uncultured bacterium. RNAcentral describes it as "partial 16S ribosomal RNA". It matches the Rfam family "Bacterial small subunit ribosomal RNA", at positions 509 to 807 of the family's 1533-position model. The record is from RNAcentral.
CAGCCGCCGCGGUAAUACGGAGGGGGCUAGCGUUGUUCGGAAUUACUGGGCGUAAAGCGCACGUAGGCUGCUUUGUAAGUCAGAGGUGAAAGCCCGGGGCUCAACCCCGGAUGUGCCUUUACGACUGCAUCGCUUGAACGUCGGAGAGGUGAGUGGAAUUCCGAGUGUAGAGGUGAAAUUCGUAGAUAUUCGGAAGAACACCAGUGGCGAAGGCGGCUCACUGGACGACUGUUGACGCUGAGGUGCGAAAGCGUGGGGAGCAAACAGGAUUAGAGACCCCCGUAGUCCCUGUCUCUUAUAC